AUACGGAGGAUGCGAGCGUUAUCCGGAUUUAUUGGGUUUAAAGGGAGCGUAGGUGGGAUAUUAAGUCAGCUGUGAAAGUUUGGGGCUCAACCUUAAAAUUGCAGUUGAUACUGGUUUCCUUGAGUACGGUACAGGUGGGCGGAAUUCGUGGUGUAGCGGUGAAAUGCUUAGAUAUCACGAAGAACUCCGAUCGCGAAGGCAGCACCGGGCCGGAACUGACACUGAUGCUCGAAAGUGCGGGUAUCAAACAGGAUUAGAUACCCUGGUAGUCCGCACAGUAAACGAUGAAUACUCGCUGUUUGCGAUACACGGUAAGCGGCCAAGCGAAAGCGUUAAGUAUUCCACCUGGGGAGUACGCCGGCAACGGUGAAACUCAAAUGAAUUGACGGGG
Molecule: ribosomal RNA, 391 nt
Filed under: uncultured bacterium
Lineage: Bacteria
Description: partial 16S ribosomal RNA
Rfam family: Bacterial small subunit ribosomal RNA
Source: RNAcentral